GCCGGGGUGGCCGAGCGGUCCAAGGCGUCGGGCUGCAGACCCGAUUAACUCCCGGGUUCGAAUCCCGGCCCCGGCUCCA
This 79-nucleotide transfer RNA is filed under the name Ignisphaera aggregans. Its description in RNAcentral is "tRNA-Cys". It matches the Rfam family "tRNA". Rfam says of the family: Transfer RNA (tRNA) molecules are approximately 80 nucleotides in length. Their secondary structure includes four short double-helical elements and three loops (D, anti-codon, and T loops). Lineage: Archaea; Thermoproteati; Thermoproteota; Thermoprotei; Desulfurococcales; Desulfurococcaceae. The record is from RNAcentral.